This 472-nucleotide ribosomal RNA is filed under the name uncultured soil bacterium. Its description in RNAcentral is "bacterial SSU rRNA". It matches the Rfam family "Bacterial small subunit ribosomal RNA", at positions 26 to 486 of the family's 1533-position model. The record is from RNAcentral.
AGAUUGAACGCUGGCGGCAUGCCUUACACAUGCAAGUCGAACGGUAGAGUAGCAAUACUUGAGAGUGGCGAACGGGUGAGUAAUAUAUCGGAACGUGCCCAGUCGUGGGGGAUAACGUAGAGAAAUUUACGCUAAUACCGCAUACGAUCUAAGGAUGAAAGCGGGGGACUCGCAAGAGCCUCGCGCGAUUGGAGCGGCUGAUAUCAGAUUAGGUUGUUGGUGAGGUAAAAGCUCACCAAGCCGACGAUCUGUAGCUGGUUUGAGAGAACGACCAGCCACACUGGGACUGAGACACGGCCCAGACUCCUACGGGAGGCAGCAGUGGGUAAUUUUGGACAAGUGGGCGAAAGCCUGAUCCAGCGAUGCCGCGUGACGAGGAAGAAGGUCCUUCGGGUUGUAACGUGUCUUUUAGUACGGAACGUAACGGUCUGCUUUAAUACGAGCGGUAACUAAUAGGACGUAACCGUAAGAA